AUGAAUUUAAUUUUAUUAAAUUGAAGUAGGCAGAUAAUUUAAUUUGUUUGGCCAUGUGGAAAGUCUGACCUGCUAGAGCCUAGAGGGCAAAAUUUAGCAGAGAACCUUCUAAUACAAUGGUCGACACACUUCACCGCAUAGAGAUGGCUUAAUAUCGUCCUAAAAAAGAGCAGCUUAAAAUGCAGAUGACACAAAUCUCUCAUAACCAUCGACAGCAUUGAAGGGAAAGAAUGUGUUGUUGGAAGGAAUGUAUGCGUAAAUUACAAGUUGCAUUGUCUAUCAAAAACUUUAAAUAAUGUUCAAUUCACACGCAUGAAGUUGCCAUUCUUCAUUGAUAUCCCCAAAACACUAUGAUCCAUGACAAUAAAAAGGAAACUAAUACUUUCGCUGGAUGUUUCCAUCUGGAAGCAAUGCUGCCUCCAGCAAAAUAGCAUUCAGCUGUAGGGGCUGUAACGCAUAGGCAUUCUGAAUCUUGGAACCUUCCUGCAGUAUUAUGGAAAUUUGCUAAAAGCACAUCAAUCAAAGAGAGACGAAAUGAGAGUAUCUUAGCACAUUCACAAAAAAAUUUUUAAGGCACUAUAUAUAUAGAUAAGCAUACCCAUAUCCAUAAGGAGAGUAGAAAUAAGGAGGCAUAUGUGAGGCCCUGGGUGGAAGCCCCAUGUAAGGGUUGGGUCGACGAGGACGGAACUGCUUCAUCCCUGGUAUAUUGGUCCUUUUAGCAGUCACCUAGCAAAACACAAAAAAAUGACACAUUUGUUUUUUAAGAAAUCGUCUGAGGUUGAAAGCAGAGAAAUGCAAUAAAAAGAAUGAAAACCUGGCCAUUGAGGUUGGGGUAAAUUACUAAAAAAUGUCUGGGAUUUGCCAUAAUACACACUUUCCAUCCUCUAGUUUCAAGAUUUGUUGCUCGGUUUAUAAGACUAAUUACCUAAAAAAUGAAUUGCUUUACCUUCAAUUGGCGGCCACGCAAUUCAGUUUCAUUCAGAAGGAGAGCCUCUUGAACAGCCUCUGUCUCAAAGAAUUCCACAUAUGCGUAACCCUUUGGCUGCCCAUACUUGUCAGUACGAAUAGUGAUCCUAUUUAUCGUCCCACAUGAUUGGAAGUGCUGCUGCACUUCUUCAGGGGUGCAUGAAUAGUCCACCAUAAGGAGUAAAAUGCCUACUCAUUCCUCGAGCAUUAACCUCCAUGACAAGUAGCUCUGUGGGCUUGUACUUUGUACAUAGCUAGUCUUCACCCUUCCUGCAUGCUACUCAUACCUGAUUGAGUCUAGGCUCAGGAAUCUUGAAUCAUAUCUUUUCCUCCGUCCAUCCUGGCCCAAGAACUCGCUCAAGUUAACUCAACCAACACUCUUUAAUCCUAACCUAUAUCUCUGCUGAUUCUCCCCAUCUUUUUUGUUAUGAUCACUCAGAAAGAUUUUAGCAUUUAUCACCUCUCCC
Molecule: unclassified non-coding RNA, 1433 nt
Filed under: Hevea brasiliensis (rubber tree)
Lineage: Eukaryota; Viridiplantae; Streptophyta; Magnoliopsida; Malpighiales; Euphorbiaceae
Source: RNAcentral